GACGAACGCUGGCGGCGUGCUUAACACAUGCAAGUCGAACGGAAAGGCCCUGCUUUUGUGGGGUGCUCGAGUGGCGAACGGGUGAGUAACACGUGAGUAACCUGCCCUUGACUUUGGGAUAACUUCAGGAAACUGGGGCUAAUACCGGAUAGGAGCUCCUGCUGCAAGGUGGGGGUUGGAAAGUUUCGGCGGUUGGGGAUGGACUCGCGGCUUAUCAGCUUGUUGGUGGGGUAGUGGCUUACCAAGGCUUUGACGGGUAGCCGGCCUGAGAGGGUGACCGGGCACAUUGGGACUGAGAUACGGCCCAGACUCCUACGGGAGGCAGCAGUGGGGAAUAUUGCACAAUGGGCGGAAGCCUGAUGCAGCAACGCCGCGUGCGGGAUGACGGCCUUCGGGUUGUAAACCGCUUUCGCCUGUGACGAAGCGUGAGUGACGGUAAUGGGUAAAGAAGCACCGGCUAACUACGUG
Molecule: ribosomal RNA, 468 nt
Filed under: uncultured bacterium
Lineage: Bacteria
Description: partial 16S ribosomal RNA
Rfam family: Bacterial small subunit ribosomal RNA
Source: RNAcentral